AUGGUAGCAGAUCAGCGCCCCAACGCCCAAGGAUAUGCUAGAGACUUGCAUGUGAAUGCCCAAGAAGCACAGGAGGCUAGAACUAGUGCGUGUGCUUUUCCUGCACCUUCCGCUGCUAGUUGGCUCCCUCCACAAGAGAGUGAUGCAAAAUUGAAUGUGGACGGCGGCAUAUGCAGGAGAGGCGAUCGAGGGGCUGCAGCUGUUAUAUGCCGAGACAAGACUGGUCAGUACUUGGGGGCUUCGGCGAUGGUUUUCGACGGUCUCGUCGACCCGGCGACUCUUGAAGCCCGAGCGUGCAGUGAAGCACUGGCGCUAGCAUCAGACCUAAACCUCCAGUCUAUUUGUGUGGCGUCUGACUGCGCAGAGGUGGUCGCAAAUCUGGAGACUGGAGGUCCGUGCCGCUACUCUAUGAUUUGUGAGGAGUUCAGAGCACAAAGAGUUCCUUUUGAUUGUAUUCGAGUAGUUCAUGAGAGGAGGAUUCAUAAUGCUGAGGCCCAUUCGUUGGCCAAAGCGGCCUCCUCUCUCUCUUCUGGGCGCCACGUGUGGCUAGAUGUUUUGCCCAAUAUCAUCUGUAUUCCGUCGAAACUUGAUACUUAA
RNAcentral lists this ribosomal RNA (597 nucleotides) under Triticum aestivum (bread wheat). RNAcentral's name for it is "partial small subunit ribosomal RNA". The record is from RNAcentral. Lineage: Eukaryota; Viridiplantae; Streptophyta; Magnoliopsida; Poales; Poaceae.